RNAcentral lists this ribosomal RNA (793 nucleotides) under uncultured bacterium. RNAcentral's name for it is "bacterial SSU rRNA". It matches the Rfam family "Bacterial small subunit ribosomal RNA", at positions 8 to 796 of the family's 1533-position model. The record is from RNAcentral.
AGAGUUUGAUCCUGGCUCAGAUUGAACGCUGGCGGUAUGCUUAACACAUGCAAGUCGAACGAUGAGAAAGAGCUUGCUCUUUCGAUUAGUGGCGGACGGGUGCGUAACGCGUAGGAAUCUGCCUAUUAGUGGGGGACAACUUAGGGAAACUUAAGCUAAUACCGCAUACGCCCUACGGGGGAAAGGAGGGGAUCGCAAGACCUUUCGCUAAUAGAUGAGCCUGCGUAGGAUUAGCUAGUUGGUGGGGUAAAGGCCUACCAAGGCAACGAUCCUUAGCUGGUCUGAGAGGACGAUCAGCCACACUGGAACUGAGACACGGUCCAGACUCCUACGGGAGGCAGCAGUGGGGAAUCUUGCACAAUGGGCGACAGCCUGAUGCAGCAAUGCCGCGUGAGGGAAGACGGCCUUCGGGUUGUAAACCUCUUUCAGUUGGGAAGAAGGGUGGACGGUGAAUAGCCGGCUCACUUGACGGUACCUUCAGAAGAAGCUCCGGCUAACUACGUGCCAGCAGCCGCGGUAAUACGUAGGGAGCAAGCGUUGUCCGGAAUCAUUGGGCGUAAAGCGCGUGUAGGCGGUUACAUAAGUCUGUUGUGAAAGUCGGAGGCUCAACCUUCGAAAGCCGAUGGAUACUGUGUGACUUGAGUACGGAAGAGGAGAGUGGAAUUCCUGGUGUAGCGGUGAAAUGCGCAGAUAUCAGGAGGAACACCAACGGCGAAGGCAGCUCUCUGGGACGUUACUGACGCUGAGACGCGAAAGCGUGGGGAGCAAACAGGAUUAGAUACCCUGGUAGUCC